AUUUAAUUAUAAAUUUUAAUUUUUAAAUAAUUAUCAUAUUUUAAAUAAAAAUAUAAUAUUAUUUUUUUAUACCUUUUGUAUAAGGAAAAAUUUAUUAGUAAUAAAAUUUAUUAAAAUUUCUCGAAAAUUAUUUAAAUAAGAUUAUAUUUUUUUUAUAGAAAUAAAAAAUUUUAUUUAUGUUAUAUAAAUGAAAUAAUAUAACUAGUUAUUUUUAAAUCAAUUUUUUUUGGAAAAGCUAAAAUAUUUAACUAUUAUGUUUUUUUUUAAAAAAAAAUUUAAAUUAUUUUUUUUUUAUAAAAUCUAAUUUUAAAAUCAAAGUUUUUUGAAAAAAAUAAGAAAUUUGUUUAUUUUAAAAUAAUUUUAUUAGUAGAUAAAAAAAAACAAUUAAUUUAAUUUUUAAAAUUUAAUAAUAAAUAUAAUAUUUUUUUAAAUCAAAUUUUUUAAUUUUUAACAAAAUAUCAUUAAUAAAAAUUUAUUAUAAAUUCUGCUCCAUGAAAAGUUUAAAUAGCCGAUUUAUCGCUAAGGUAGCAUAAUCACUUGUUUCUUAAUUAGAAACUUGAAUGAAAGGAUAAAAAAAAAUUUAAAUAAAAUAUUUUAUUUAAAAAUUAAAAUUUUAUUAUUAAUGAAAAUAUUAAUGUAUUUUUUUAGACGGAAAGACCCUAUGAAUCUUUCUUUAAAAAAAAGUUUUUUGGGAGAAAAAUUAAUUUUAAUAUUUAAAUAAUUUAUUGAAAAGAACUUUUAUAAAAGAAUAAAUAUAAAGAUACUCUAGGGUUAACAGGAUAAAAUUUAAUUAAAGAACAAAUUUAUUAAAAUAUUAUUACCUCGAUGUUGGUUUUAUAAACUAAAAAUUGCAAUAAAUUUUUUUAGUUAGUCUGUUCGACUAUAAAAAUAUAACUUGAACUGAGUUCAAAUCGGUGUAAACCAGAUUGGAUCUUAUCUAAAAAAAAUUAUUUUAAGAAUAGUACGAAAGGAAAAUCUUAAAUAUAUUAUAUAA
Molecule: ribosomal RNA, 994 nt
Filed under: Tetranychus truncatus
Lineage: Eukaryota; Metazoa; Arthropoda; Arachnida; Trombidiformes; Tetranychidae
Description: 16S ribosomal RNA
Source: RNAcentral